AACGAACGCUGGCGGCAGGCUUAACACAUGCAAGUCGAGCGAGACCUUCGGGUCUAGCGGCGGACGGGUGAGUAAUGCGUGGGAACGUGCCCUUCUCUACGGAAUAGCCCCGGGAAACUGGGAGUAAUACCGUAUACGCCCUUUGGGGGAAAGAUUUAUCGGAGAAGGAUCGGCCCGCGUUGGAUUAGGUAGUUGGUGGGGUAAUGGCCCACCAAGCCGACGAUCCAUAGCUGGUUUGAGAGGAUGAUCAGCCACACUGGGACUGAGACACGGCCCAGACUCCUACGGGAGGCAGCAGUGGGGAAUCUUAGACAAUGGGGGCAACCCUGAUCUAGCCAUGCCGCGUGAGUGAUGAAGGCCUUAGGGUUGUAAAGCUCUUUCAGCUGGGAAGAUAAUGACGGUACCAGCAGAAGAAGCCCCGGCUAACUCCGUG
This 433-nucleotide ribosomal RNA is filed under the name uncultured bacterium. RNAcentral's name for it is "partial 16S ribosomal RNA". It matches the Rfam family "Bacterial small subunit ribosomal RNA", at positions 29 to 507 of the family's 1533-position model. The record is from RNAcentral.